This 274-nucleotide ribosomal RNA is filed under the name uncultured bacterium. RNAcentral describes it as "partial 16S ribosomal RNA". It matches the Rfam family "Bacterial small subunit ribosomal RNA", at positions 523 to 796 of the family's 1533-position model. The record is from RNAcentral.
AUACGAAGGGUGCAAGCGUUAAUCGGAAUUACUGGGCGUAAAGCGCGCGUAGGCGGUUUGUUAAGUUGGAUGUGAAAGCCCCGGGCUCAACCUGGGAACUGCAUCCAAAACUGGCAAGCUAGAGUAUGGCAGAGGGUGGUGGAAUUUCCUGUGUAGCGGUGAAAUGCGUAGAUAUAGGAAGGAACACCCGUGGCGAAGGCGACCACCUGGGCUAAUACUGACACUGAGGUGCGAAAGCGUGGGGAGCAAACAGGAUUAGAUACCCCGGUAGUCC